GAUGAACGCUGGCGGUAGGCCUAACACAUGCAAGUCGAACGGCAGCACAGGAGAGCUUGCUCCCUGGGUGGCGAGUGGCGGACGGGUGAGGAAUACAUCGGAAUCUACUUUUUCGUGGGGGAUAACGUAGGGAAACUUACGCUAAUACCGCAUACGACCUACGGGUGAAAGCAGGGGACCUUCGGGCCUUGCGCGAUUGAAUGAGCCGAUGUCGGAUUAGCUAGUUGGCGGGGGAAAGGCCCACCAAGGCGACGAUCCGUAGCUGGUCUGAGAGGAUGAUAAGCCACACUGGAACUGAGACACGGUCCAGACUCCUACGGGAGGCAGCAGUGGGGAAUAUUGGACAAUGGGCGCAAGCCUGAUCCAGCCAUACCGCGUGGGUGAAGAAGGCCUUCGGGUUGUAAAGCCCUUUUGUUGGGAAAGAAAUCCAGCUGGCUAAUACCCGGUUGGGAUGACGGUACCCAAAGAAUAAGCACCGGCUAACUUCGUGCCAGCCGCCGCCGUAA
RNAcentral lists this ribosomal RNA (506 nucleotides) under uncultured bacterium. RNAcentral describes it as "partial 16S ribosomal RNA". It matches the Rfam family "Bacterial small subunit ribosomal RNA", at positions 28 to 523 of the family's 1533-position model. The record is from RNAcentral.